UGAGUUUCAUCCACGACGACAACACCCUUUUUCUGCUUCCUCCUUGGGUCCAGAUAGAGGGCCGUUACGCUCAUACGCGCAUAUAUCUACGCUCUUGCGACUAGCGCACACAAAGCGAGGAAGUCGGUCAGGCAUCCUUGAAAGUCUUUCAGUGCUACAGUACGAUCUCUUCGUGCUCGCCGUCCUUCGCCCGCCUCAACUGCGUCCACUGAGGAGUCGAUUGUCGUUCUUAGUACUGCUCGUUGUCGGUUUUGCGCGUGCAAGCGUGCUGUUUGGAAUCUUGUCCGUGACUGACUGCGUGUCUCUCAGGUAGCUACACCAGGGGGCAAGGCGAGGCUUUCACGUUGCGAGCCCAUCCUCUUUUUUCCCUUUCAUAUCAACGCACACAAACGUGCCGCACCGCUUGUUCGUGCAAGGAACCGGAAUACGAGGGCGCCAGAGGCCACAGUGAACCAUCAUCAAUCAUGAGCGGGGCACCAAUGAGCGAUGAGCAGCGAGCAGCGCUGGAGCAGCGCCUCGCUCGGCUGCGCGCGGCCCAAGCUGCUGCGUCCGCAAGUGGGCAUGAGAGGGCUGCUAGGCUGCCUAUCGGUACUGCAAACGGUGCCCACCACGCCAACACCGGUGCACAGCAGACGGACCAGCAAGGGACACCGGCGCCGAACCCGCGUGGUGGUCCUCGCGGUGGUGCAGCCCCGCCCCCGCCGCAGAUGGGGUAUGCCUACGAUGACGAUGACGAUGACGAAGAAGAAGCAGAGCUGGAUAGCGCCGGGCAGCAGUUCGAAGACGAGUUUCUGCGCCUCAUCGCCCAACAGCAGCGGCUGCAGGGCGUGCAUCCGGUGUCAUCACACGAGCUGAACGCCGCCUCGGUUGCGCAGGUGAGUGCCACGAGCCACGCCGAUGAGGGUGUGAGCGUUGUCGCGACAGACAAGAGCACCCCUUGUACGCGCGAGCUAGGCGACUUUGAGGCCCUUCGGCUGGCGAAGAUGGGCGAUAGUGUCUCCAUGAAGGACUUUGGUGCCGUGUGCGGUGUCGUCUGGAGGACGCUUACGGACAACCACGGCCGCAAUGCGCUUCACUACGCCGCCGAUGCCGGAUCGGCGGCACUUAUUCGGCAGGUGGCGGACGACCUGCACGUCCCUUACGUGGCGGAUGAGAAGCGAAUGACACCGCUCGACAUUGCGAUUUUGAACGGGCACUCUAGCGUCGAAAGCGAUGAGGUGUACGCGGCGCUCGUAGCGGCAGCGAAGGCAUCGGGGCACGCUGACGGGAACCCGAGCGCCACUGAGGGAGGUAUAAAGACACGAGAGAGCGUGCUCGAGGCACACGCUCCCCCGCCGCCAAAGUUCGUGAUGAGCAAGCCGGUCUCCAAGGCAGCAGAGGCGGCCGGCACACGCACGUUUUGGUCCUCUACGUGUACCAGAAGUGUAGCGAUCAGUGUACAGUGCAGCAGCGGUGCCGACAUGACCGAUGCCGAGCGGCAAGCUGUCAGCGAUGCGGUAUGCUCGCUGGAUCAGCAUGGAAGGCUUCAGUGGCUGCGGCCCGUGACGCGAGGUGCACUGAUGCCGUGUGAACACUGGCAGGUUGCGGUGGCAUCGCAAGCAGACGCGACUGCAGCGACGACGGCCACAGCAACGACGGGAGUAGUGGUGGUACAGGUGCUGCCGAACGUUUCCUUGAAAGGGCCGGCGGCGAAGAAGAUCAGCGCCGCAACAGUAGCAGUCGCGGCUCACUUGGCGGUGCGCAGCGACAGUCAUCACACCGGGGUCGCUGCCGCCUUGCUACACGCGUUGCGUACUCGCAUUGGAGAUUUGACUGGAAGCAACAACAACGCUGCCGUCUUCUUUGCCUCUGGAACGCAACUCAGCCGUCCGCCGGCGGCUGUGGCGACAGUGAAGUGGUAUCGCCGCGCCUUUGAUGCGGCGUACGUCUACGCCUCGGAGAGUGCCUACGAUGUCUUCCCCGAUUUCUACAACUACGAUGAGGUGCUACGUGCUGAUGCGGUGCUGAAGGGUGCCAUUCCCGCGUCGCUCGUGCAGCAGUACAUGGCGGAUCUGCCGUCGUGGUGCAAUCUCGAAGUCGCCUCCGAUGAACAGUGUGCGCUAGUGCUGAGCUUCAUGCAGGCCAAGGCAGGCAGCGAGGAGUCCAACGUGGACCUGGCCUGCGUGCCAGAGGAUGUGCAGGAGAUGCGUCGUAGCUACAUUGGCCACCCGGACCACCGUUCCUACGUGCGAACUAACGCGCAGGGCUCGGUGACGGAUCUCGUCGUCUUUCGGGCACGCGACACGCGCAAAUCGGAGUCCUCUGCUGAUGCCAACGCUGGCGUCUUUGCGGCUGAGGUAGUGUACGCCCUCUUCACCACCGUCGCCGGAAAGGCGAAAGCGGAUCACAUGAUGCUGCUCGCGUGGAAGCUGUUGUCCGCGAAGCUGCUGCUCGUGCCGACCAUGUUCGGCAUCACAGAGAGCGAACUCGCCAAGGCAAACUUUGAUGAGGUCGUCGCGGACCGAGAGUACAUUUACGCGGUGUCUCCGGCAACCCGGCGCGAGGUGGACGGGCUCGGGCCGAUGCCUGCAGCAAAGUUGUCGCUGCCCCUCUACACCAUUUGAAUGCGCGCGUCUCUUCUUUCUUUUUUUUUUAGGAGGGCCCUGUCACUCUCCGACCCCCGCAUCGCCGGCUGACACUCCUUCCUUGCCCUCGCCUUGCUCAGCUGUCCCUGCAUCCUCGCGCAUUCGCUAAUACACAUCUCUGUGUCUGCAGUAGCCAGAUGCUCGCCUGGGGGUGGGGGUGGGGGCAGAUUUCAACCGGUCGUGUGGUGGCGUCACAGGUGCCGACACUGCAAGGGGUGCUGUUUGUUGUCGAGGCGCCUUUGAGGAACCGCUGUUCAUACUGCGGUGAAAGGGAGGCAGUGAAGAGGUCGUGGGCGUCGCUGAAGCCGCAUCCCUUUUUCUAUGUGUAUCUGUUUGUGACGGUGCGUGGCUGCCGUACAUCAUCUUCUGCGGUGUGUGUGUGUACCUCAUGUCGUCGAUCCCUCUCUCUUCUCUUUCCUGAUCUCAUCUGGUUGUCUUUGUGUGUGGUAUCUUAUUUCUUUUGUGCGCCCACACAUCCUACGGCCCAUUCUUGUGGCGGUGUUGGUGGCGGUGAUCGUCGUUGCCUGCGGUGUUUUGUUCUUCACUGUGUGUAAUUCUUCUCUAACGAAUGUCCUCGGCCUCUCUCUCUGGCUCGAAACUUGAGCUGUUCAACGCAAGAAGUAGUGGUAGUGGUGCAGCGACCCAAAGAAACGAACGAGAGCAAAAUGAAUGAUGGGCCCAUUGCUGUGGCGAUGGUAGCCACGCCAUCGUGAAAAUCCCUUCCGCGCGCGCACACACACACGCGCACCCUCCUCCCAUGUCUGUCUCCCACCUUUCGUCUCAGCCGUCUGCUUAAUCGUUUGCAACGCUGUGUUUCGUUUAUUCGUGUCUGUGUGUGCUGGCGGCGGUGGUUGCUGCGGCGUCCAGUUUGGACACCCAGCGACAACGGGAGAACAGAGGCUGGCCUGCGCAAAAGAGGAAGAUACGAACGAGCGACCUGGCAUACGACGAAUGGCAGCACUGAGCUCGGCAACCGCGCGUUGCAUGUCUGCUGCUUUGGUUUUUUUUUCUGCUCGUCUGGCUCCCGCAUCCCAGAAGGGCGGACACACCCCUCAGCGUGUGGUAUCCCAGCGUCCCGUGCCCCCACUCUGUGUGUGGGGAAGCUAAGCAAGCCCCCUCAUCCCUGCCGCAUGCUGAACCGCUUCCGGUGGUGAAAUGGUAAGGCACCUACGACGAGGGGGGGAGCAGGUCAGAGCGAUGCAUCGCUGCGGACGUUAGCGGUCAGCUCCUGGGUCUCGUUGCGUCGGAGCGACCUGCGACAGUGAAUAUGUUUGCGCCAUCGGUGCAUUAGGCAGAGUGUCGGCGUGGCUUGAGCGUGUGUCUCGCCCGGCCCUCACUGCCCUUGCUGGUGAAGGGAGCCGGAGCCACCCCGAGGAGGGGAUGCGCCAGGGGGGCGGCCAGCACGGUGGAGGCGGCUGUGAGGCGACCUGCGAGGUGGGUGGGCGGCCAGCGUUAGAGGCAGGGGGCCGCGCUGAGGUGGCGGAGUCGGCGCAUUGCCGUAACGCGCGUGUCGGCUGCCGCUUCGCGCUGCUCUCAUGACGGGGUGGGGAGAGGGGCAUUGGGCUCAUGCUGCACAGCGGAGAGUGGGCUCACACUGAUGGCAAAGAAGUCGAAACAUUCUCUUCCGUUUUCUUACUCCUUUU
Molecule: unclassified non-coding RNA, 4267 nt
Filed under: Leishmania donovani
Lineage: Eukaryota; Euglenozoa; Kinetoplastea; Trypanosomatida; Trypanosomatidae
Description: gene:LdHU3.29.2280(CDS-product:hypothetical_prote in_conserved)
Source: RNAcentral